Thalassophryne amazonica is the source of this 177-nucleotide long non-coding RNA. RefSeq lists it as uncharacterized. NCBI's taxonomy places the organism in Eukaryota, Metazoa, Chordata, Actinopteri, Batrachoidiformes, Batrachoididae. The transcript has 2 exons. The record is from RefSeq and is a predicted model, not a curated record.
AUUCAGGUCAUACACAGCAUCAUCUGCAUCCCGGGGGUCAUCAAAUUCAACAAACCCAUAUCUGCACAGAGGAAGAGAACAAGUUUAACACGGUGGCAGAGCAAAUGACUGAGAUGAACGAUGUGGACAUAGAACACCAUCUGGGUAGGGAUGGGUAUUGAUAGCAUUUUAUCAUUA